UGCCAGCCGCCGCGGUAAUACGGAGGGUGCGAGCGUUGUCCGGAUUUAUUGGGCGUAAAGAGCUCGUAGGCGGUUUUGUAAGUCGGAUGUGAAAACUCAGGGCUCAACCCUGAGACGCCAUCCGAUACUGCAAUGACUAGAGUCCGGUAGGGGAGCAUGGAAUUCCUGGUGUAGCGGUGGAAUGCGCAGAUAUCAGGAGGGACACCAAUGGCGAAGGCAGUGCUCUGGGCCGGUACUGACGCUGAGGAGCGAAAGCAUGGGGAGCAAACAGGAUUAGAUA
This 280-nucleotide ribosomal RNA is filed under the name uncultured bacterium. RNAcentral describes it as "partial 16S ribosomal RNA". It matches the Rfam family "Bacterial small subunit ribosomal RNA", at positions 506 to 784 of the family's 1533-position model. The record is from RNAcentral.